AAUGAACGCUGGCGGCGUGCUUAACACGUGCAAGUCGAACGAACCUUCGGGUUAGUGGCGGACGGGUGAGUAACGCGUGGGAAUCUGCCCUCAGGAGGGGGAUAACGGCUGGAAACGGCCGCUAAUACCCCAUAUGCCGAGAGGUGAAAUGAAUUUCGCCUGAGGAUGAGCCCGCGUCUGAUUAGCUAGUUGGUGAGGUAAGAGCUCACCAAGGCAUCGAUCAGUAGCUGGUCUGAGAGGAUGAUCAGCCACACUGGGACUGAGACACGGCCCAGACUCCUACGGGAGGCAGCAGUGGGGAAUUUUCCGCAAUGGGCGAAAGCCUGACGGAGCAACGCCGCGUGAGGGAUGAAGGCCUCUGGGCUGUAAACCUCUUUUCUCAAGGAAGAAGAUCUGACGGUACUUGAGGAAUAAGCCACGGCUAAUUCCGUG
RNAcentral lists this ribosomal RNA (432 nucleotides) under uncultured bacterium. RNAcentral's name for it is "bacterial SSU rRNA". It matches the Rfam family "Bacterial small subunit ribosomal RNA", at positions 29 to 507 of the family's 1533-position model. The record is from RNAcentral.